Molecule: ribosomal RNA, 468 nt
Filed under: uncultured bacterium
Lineage: Bacteria
Description: partial 16S ribosomal RNA
Rfam family: Bacterial small subunit ribosomal RNA
Source: RNAcentral
GACGAACGCUGGCGGCGUGCUUAACACAUGCAAGUCGAACGGAAAGGCCCUGCUUUUGUGGGGUGCUCGAGUGGCGAACGGGUGAGUAACACGUGAGUAACCUGCCCUUGACUUUGGGAUAACUUCAGGAAACUGGGGCUAAUACCGGAUAGGAGCUCCUGCUGCAUGGUGGGGGUUGGAAAGUUUCGGCGGUUGGGGAUGGACUCGCGGCUUAUCAGCUUGUUGGUGGGGUAGUGGCUUACCAAGGCUUUGACGGGUAGCCGGCCUGAGAGGGUGACCGGCCACAUUGGGACUGAGAUACGGCCCAGACUCCUACGGGAGGCAGCAGUGGGGAAUAUUGCACAAUGGGCGGAAGCCUGAUGCAGCAACGCCGCGUCCGGGAUGACGGCCUUCGGGUUGUAAACCGCUUUCGCCUGUGACGAAGCGUGAGUGACGGUAAUGGGUAAAGAAGCACCGGCUAACUACGUG